Molecule: unclassified non-coding RNA, 391 nt
Filed under: soil metagenome
Description: partial contains 5.8S ribosomal RNA, internal transcribed spacer 2, and large subunit ribosomal RNA
Rfam family: 5.8S ribosomal RNA (bases 1-122)
Source: RNAcentral
GAUGAAGAACGUAGCGAAAUGCGAUACUUGGUGUGAAUUGCAGAAUCCCGUGAACCAUCGAGUCUUUGAACGCAAGUUGCGCCCGAAGCCAUUAGGCCGAGGGCACGCCUGCCUGGGCGUCACACGUCGUUGCUCCCCCAUCUACUCCUUCGGGAUUGCGGGGGGCGGAUGAUGGCCUCUCGUGCGCCUCGUCGCGCGGUUGGCCUAAAUGCCAAGUCCUCGGCGACGCACGCCACGACAAUCGGUGGUUGCGAAACCUCGGUUGCCUGUCGUGUGCGGUCGUCGCGCAUCGAGGGCUCGAAAAAAUUGCCGGGCUUCGGCUCGACUUUCAACGCGACCCCAGGUCAGGCGGGGUUACCCGCUGAAUUUAAGCAUAUCAAUAAGCGGAGGA